GGCCAGACUCCUACGGGAGGCAGCAGUGGGGGAUAUUGCACAAUGGGGGGAACCCUGAUGCAGCGACGCCGCGUGGGUGAAGGAGUAUUUCGGUAUGUAAAGCCCUAUCGGCAGGGAAGAAGCAAGACGGUACCUGACUAAGAAGCCCCGGCUAACUACGUGCCAGCAGCCGCGGUAAUACGUAGGGGGCGAGCGUUAUCCGGAUUCACUGGGUGUAAAGGGAGCGCAGGCGGCACGGCAAGUCUGGUGUGAAAGCCCGGGGCCCAACCCCGGGACUGCAUUGGAAACUGCCGGGCUGGAGUGCCGGAGGGGCAGGCGGAAUUCCUGGUGUAGCGGUGAAAUGCGCAGAUAUCAGGAAGAACACCGGUGGCGCAGGCGGCUUGCUGGACGGCAACUGACGCUGAGGCUCGAAAGCGUGGGGAGCAAACAGGAUUAGAUACCCGAGUAAA
This 449-nucleotide ribosomal RNA is filed under the name uncultured bacterium. Its description in RNAcentral is "bacterial SSU rRNA". It matches the Rfam family "Bacterial small subunit ribosomal RNA", at positions 329 to 794 of the family's 1533-position model. The record is from RNAcentral.